ACGGAGGGUGCGAGCGUUGUCCGGAAUCACUGGGCGUAAAGGGCGCGUAGGCGGCCGAGCAAGGUCGCGGUGAAAGCCCGGGGCUCAACCCCGGGUCGGCCGUGGCAACUACUCGGCUCGAGCACGGUAGAGGCGGAUGGAAUUCCCGGUGUAGCGGUGAAAUGUGUAGAGAUCGGGAGGAACACCGGUGGCGAAGGCAGGUCUCUGGGCAGUUUCUGACACUGAUGCGCGACAGCGUGGGGAGCAAACAGGA
RNAcentral lists this ribosomal RNA (253 nucleotides) under uncultured prokaryote. RNAcentral describes it as "partial 16S ribosomal RNA". It matches the Rfam family "Bacterial small subunit ribosomal RNA", at positions 525 to 777 of the family's 1533-position model. The record is from RNAcentral.